RNAcentral lists this ribosomal RNA (252 nucleotides) under uncultured bacterium. RNAcentral's name for it is "partial 16S ribosomal RNA". It matches the Rfam family "Bacterial small subunit ribosomal RNA", at positions 525 to 776 of the family's 1533-position model. The record is from RNAcentral.
ACGGAGGGUGCAAGCGUUAUCCGGAAUCAUUGGGUUUAAAGGGUCCGCAGGCGGUAUUAUAAGUCAGUGGUGAAAGCCUACAGCUUAACUGUAGAACUGCCAUUGAUACUGUAGUACUUGAAUUCGGUCGAAGUUGGCGGAAUAUGUAGUGUAGCGGUGAAAUGCUUAGAUAUUACAUAGAACACCAAUAGCGAAGGCAGCUAACUAGGCCUGGAUUGACGCUGAGGGACGAAAGCGUGGGGAGCGAACAGG